GAUGAACGCUGGCGGCGUGCCUAACACAUGCAAGUCGAGCGCGAAAAGGGCAACCUGAGUAGAGCGGCGCACGGGUGCGUAACACGUGGGUAAUCUGCCUUAGAGUCGAGGAUAACCUUCCGAAAGGUUGGCUAAUACUCGGUAAGCUUACGGUGUCUUCGGACGCUGUGGGAAAAGUAGGCCUCUGUUUACAAGCUUACGCUCUGAGAUGAGCCCGCGGCCCAUCAGCUAGUUGGCGGUGUAACGGACCACCAAGGCAACGACGGGUAGCUGGUCUGAGAGGACGAUCAGCCACACUGGAACUGAGACACGGUCCAGACUCCUACGGGAGGCAGCAGUGGGGAAUUUUCCACAAUGGGCGAAAGCCUGAUGGAGCAACGCAGCGUGUGUGAUGAAGGUUUUCGGAUCGUAAAGCACUUUCGACCGGGACGAAAAACCUCUGGCUAACAUCCAGGGGCCUGACGGUACCGGGAGAAGAAGCACCGGCUAACUCUGUGCCAGCCGCCGCGGUAA
Molecule: ribosomal RNA, 513 nt
Filed under: uncultured bacterium
Lineage: Bacteria
Description: partial 16S ribosomal RNA
Rfam family: Bacterial small subunit ribosomal RNA
Source: RNAcentral